RNAcentral lists this ribosomal RNA (553 nucleotides) under uncultured bacterium. RNAcentral describes it as "bacterial SSU rRNA". It matches the Rfam family "Bacterial small subunit ribosomal RNA", at positions 777 to 1330 of the family's 1533-position model. The record is from RNAcentral.
AAUAGAUACCCGGGUAGUCCACCCCGUAAACGUUGGGAACUAGUUGUGGGGUCCUUUCCACGGAUUCCGUGACGCAGCUAACGCAUUAAGUUCCCCGCCUGGGGAGUACGGCCGCAAGGCUAAAACUCAAAAGGAAUUGACGGGGACCCGCACAAGCGGCGGAGCAUGCGGAUUAAUUCGAUGCAACGCGAAGAACCUUACCAAGGCUUGACAUACACCGGAAACGGCCAGAGAUGGUCGCCCCGCAAGGUCGGUGUACAGGUGGUGCAUGGUUGUCGUCAGCUCGUGUCGUGAGAUGUUGGGUUAAGUCCCGCAACGAGCGCAACCCUCGUUCUAUGUUGCCAGCACGUAAUGGUGGGAACUCAUGGGAUACUGCCGGGGUCAACUCGGAGGAAGGUGGGGAUGACGUCAAAUCAUCAUGCCCCUUAUGUCUUGGGCUUCACGCAUGCUACAAUGGCCGGUACAAAGGGCUGCAAUACCGUGAGGUGGAGCGAAUCCCAAAAGCCGGUCCCAGUUCGGAUUGAGGUCUGCAACUCGACCUCAUGAAGUCGGU